Molecule: long non-coding RNA, 5936 nt
Organism: Passer domesticus (house sparrow)
Lineage: Eukaryota; Metazoa; Chordata; Aves; Passeriformes; Passeridae
Exons: 3
Source: RefSeq, a predicted model, not a curated record
GGCUGGGAACAGGCAAAUGAAAGGGGGUGAGACUGGGGCACAGAGCUCAUGUGGGUUAAAAGGAGGAGGUGGGUGGAUGUGAGUGGCUCUUAAAAGUCAGAGUGCCUCCAGCUUGGUGAUAAAUGGCAUCUUAAACCCCCUUGUGAGUGAUACAGCAGGACAGAGCCACUCAGCUCCCUGGGUGUGUUAGGGCAACAUCUCCUCUCUAAGGAGGACGGCUGGAAAAGCUGCUAUUUUGAGCUUGAUUUGGAAUAAUAGAGCAGAACUGGCUGAAAGAAGUGGAAGGUGAUUUUGGGAAAUAAGUCACGAAAUAGUGGAGCCAAGAAUGCCAUGAGAAAAGGAGUGAAAACAGCAGAGUAAGGAUAAUGGGCUGCAAAAAUCUCUGAGAAUCAGGCAGCAACCCUUGGGAAAGUAAUCCAAGGGCUUAAGGAGCACAGGGAAGUUGGCAAUUACUUGAAGUGACUGCAUUAGGGCAGGCCACCACAACAACCCAUCCCAAGGAACAGGGGGAAGAUGCUGCAGGGAUUUGAUGGACCUGAGACACAGAGAAGAGCUGCAGAAAAGGGGACCUGAUGCCAGAGACCUGGCAAUGGGACCAGGGAGCAGCAGCUGAGCAGCUACAAAUGGGAGAUGGGAAGGUGCAGAUCAAGCUCCAGUAGUUGUCUGUUUUAGGCUGAGCAAAAACCCUUUUGGAAAUGCACAGGAAGAAGGAGAGCUGAGGAAAGCCCCAGAGUGUUGCUCAAAUGAAGGGAUUCACUGUGGACUUUGCUUCAGCCUUCCCUUGCACCCAGCUAAUUAGGAAAGGAUGAUUAAAUGAGGCAGGAGUCCAGUUUGAACAGAGAGCAGAAAACCUGCCAGGGUAUUUAGAGCAGUCAGGUGUGCUGGUGUUAGCAGGGCCUGCUGAGUUCCCCCUUGGGUGUACUUCCAGAGCUAAUCCAACCUCAGAAGUGUUCAGGGUUUUUCCAGUACUGCAAGCUGCAGUGGGGCAGCUUCAGGAGUUAAAGGCUCCAAAACUGAGCAGUGCAAGAAGAUGUUAUUAAGCAAUGAACGUGUAAGAACCUGGAGGAUAAUGAGGUUAGAAAGUGACACCUGGCAUGGGUUUGUCAGGGGCAAGUGAAGUGACAUUAAUUUGUCAUUUUCUCCUCUGACAGGAGAACCAGGCUGAUGGAAGGGGAAUGGUGCUGGAUGGGACGGGGCUUGGCUGGUGGAGGGUGGCAAGCAGCCUUGGGAGGGUGACCUGCUCUGCAGGGGUGGCUGGGGACCAUGAGCUUUAGGGGGAGCUGAAGAGCUGUCUCAUCACGGAGGAUUUAGAAAAACCACCUCAAUGCAUGGUGCCAUCAACUGCUUUCUGAACUGUCCCCCUGCGGCAGGCGGUGCCUGUGCUGCUGCACGAUGAUGUGCUCGCUUUUGUGUCCAGCUCUGCCCGUCCUAAUUCUUGCCUGUGCCCAUCAGGCGGUCCCCAUCACCACCAGCAGUUGCUCUUCAUGCCCCUCCGUGUGGUGGGCUGCCCUUCCUGGGGGCAUGAGGCCACCAGCAGCUGCUUCCCCCCACCCCAUCCAUCCCUGUCUCCUCGGUUCAAGACUCUGAAGGGCAACCCGGCCCUUGAGCAAACAUCGCAGGGCUUGCCCAGGUCAUUUGUCACAGUGCUUUUCAUGUCUCCUCUGCUCUGUAGCUCAUCUGCAGCACAGCCUCUCUCCUCGCCAGGAUGUGCAGCUCCACCGUGCAUCUCCAGGGACAGUGGUCCUGCCGCGCUCAUGGCACGCCUGCAUUUGUCUCAAGGAUUGACCCUUCGGUUAUUAUUAGCCUCGUGGUCACCUCCAGCACAGCCUGUCACGAUGAAUCAGAAAUAGAAUCUUCUCUGCACCACAGUCCUGGUUAAACCGACCAUCCCCUUCUACCUGCUGCAGUCACCGCCUCAUUAUAACUCCAUUACCUUUAACAACAACCCCAUUACCAUCCAUUAUCUUUCUUAUCAUCGCCUUUACAAGGCUGCUAUUUGCACCUCCUCCUUUACAGCCAUCCCCUCUUCAAUUACGAUUCCAUUAUCUUUAUUACCACCCCAUUACAGUCAUAAUUAUUCCCAUUACAAUUUUGAGAGCUGCAUCUCCAUCCAGACUGGUCGGUGUCUCCAUCAGCCCUACCUCCAGCUUCUCCUGCUCCGAGUUCCUCAUUGCUUUCCUCCACCUUCCCUGCAUUCCUAACUAUCCCCAUACCAAUGGUUAUAUUCUAAUUAUUUUUCAUUAUGGUUUUAUAGUCUUUUGCUGUUAUUGCUUCCUUUAUCAGCCAUUCUCAUCUCCCUGAAGUACCAUAGCUGCAGUGGGUACUGGGGUGGGAGCUGAGACUCAGGUCAGCGGUGUUACACUGAUCUGCACCAGCCCUGAGCAGCCGAUCUCUGUUGCAGGAGAUGAGGAAAGGGGCACGACCACCUCCUCUGCCACCUCCUGCCUGGGCAGAGGAGCAUCCCUGACCCUGCCUGAUUUUCCAUCCCUGGCACUGCACAAUGGCUCUAGGCUCCUUCUGCCCUUUAAAAUUAAAAGAAUAUCUGUGUGACAUUAGCAACAGUGGUUUCGUCCCAAGGGUUCAUAAGUCCUCAAGGUGCAGCACGAAGCAUCAGGUGCCAGAGAGGCUGGGGAGUCUCCUUCCCUGGAGGAACUCAAAAGCCAUCGGGACACACCUGAGUGAGGUGCUCCAGGAGGGAGCAGGGGGCUGGGUGGGAUGACUCAGGGGUCCUCUGUAACCUGACCUGUCCUGUGAUCCCGUUGGGGUUGCUGUCACUGUAGUUCCAGCUGUGUGCCCACCCCAAGAGCUGCCAGACCUGCCUCUGCUCCGUUCCUGCCUCCUUCAUCUUCCAGAAGCCACACUGGGCACGCAGGAGCAGCCCUUGGGAGCUUUUUCACCAGCACUAAGAGGGGAGAAGGCUUCUUGAGUGGCAUGGAGUGGGUUUCACGCUUUGGGGUGCCACAGAGGAGUCGGGUACCGUGCCACAUCCUGACCCCACCGAGGACAAGAGCCCUGACAGCAGAUCCAGUGCCCCUGCUCCUUGAGAGGACACUGAGAGAUUGGAGUGGUUACAGAGAGAGUCAGGAAACUGCUCAAGGACGGGGAAACCGCCGGCGUUGGAGAGCUCAGCCUGCUUAGUCCAUCACCAAGAUUGAGAGCAAGCCCAGCAGACCCUUGGCGUCAGCAGAUCCGAAGGAAAACCCAAAGUCCCAAACCUCAAGAGUCAGCCAGAUAAAACCAUCCCAACAAGAGCUUGCUCCAGGACUGAAAGCCAAGAGGAGAUGAUUCUUCGUGCAGCAAAAGCCCAUGCCAGUGUGUUUCCAAAGAAAACAUCCCCAGCAGUAUCACUGCUGAGCACUGAGAGGGAAGCAGUGAGCAAACCCUGUGUUUGGUACCCUGGACCAGCCCCCUCUGCCCCUGUUUUCCCCAGGAAAAGACUCAGAAUAACAGAAAUUCUUCAAAUGUUUCUUCUCCUACUUGUUUUUUUGCUGUUCCUAUUUUCUCAAUCACUUUCCUAAUAACUGCACAGGAAUUGCUGGGUCCUACCAACACCCAGCUGGGGCUCCAAGGUUCUCCCUGUCCUGGGACUGGACAAGAGGCAUCCCAGGCUGGAGCAAUGAAGGAGAAAGGCCCCAAAAUUUUUGGGGCAGGAGGGUGCAUCCUUCCCUGAGGCUGUGCUAGUGACACUGCUGCAAUGUCCCCGUGGUCCCCUGCAUGAGCUGGACACAGAGGUUCAGGACUCAGGACUGCUGGCAGCACUCACAGCACCAACACCUCUUGGACAAACCCAGCACGUUGUGAAGGACAGUCCAGUUCCCACCCCUAGGAGGAGUGUAUCACACAGAUUAUUUUAUUCUUUGCCUUUCACCGUGUGUAAUAAAGAAGAAUAAUUGACAAGCAGUGGGACCUGCCAUGCUGACACUUUAAUGGCAGCCUAUUUUGAGACACCAGAACUGCAACUCAGUGCUUCUAGAAGUUGUAAAAACUGUAGUAAAAACUACUCUUUUGUCCAAGUGGCUGUAAAAACUUGUCUCCAGUGAUAAGAGCAGCAUGGCUGCUGCCAGGUGCCUUGGUGUCCCUGCAGGGUCCUGGCCCCAGAACCAGGUGAUUGUCCCUGAUCCCCACCAGCAUCUGACCCUGCGGGAUGUGUGGAGACCUGAUGCCUGUGGGGGAAGACAAAGAAUCCUCGAGGUGGGUUUUUUUCCCACCCCAAACCUGCUGUAAAAAGUGCAUUUAAUCCCCUAGCCAGUGGCAGGGAGAGAGGGGAGGAAGCCAAGAGCAAAGCUGGGCAUGGAGAAGCUGUGGCAGGGGAGAUGUGCUCCUCCAGGAGGUGUCAGAAAUGCCUCUAUGCCUCUCUCUAGCUUUCCAGCACCAGGAUAUCCCUGUGUUUUCUCUGCCCUAAAACCAGCAGAAGCCCCCAUCAUGGGUGUUAAUAGCAGCAGCAUGCAUGCAUACAGGUUUUGGAGGAUCUUUUCAAGGUGCCAGGUGAUGCAGUCAGCAGUGCAGCCUGCCAGGGGCACAUUAAGGUGCCUCUCACUUUGUUUCAGACAGCUCUUGCCACUCAGGCCAUGAAAUGAAUGUCUGAGCAGACAGCUGGGAAAAUAGGGAGCUGUAUAAAGCAGCUCAGAGCUCGGUGGGGAGCUGAGCUGCAUUUGGGACAUGCUGGGCUGUGACUGCAUUUCCUCACCCUCCGGAGAUGCCAGUGGGGCAGCACCACGGGUACCACCCCAGCACUCCCUGACCUUCAGCUCCUGCCAGUGCUCUCAUUCUGCUUCUCAUUUACCCACCUGGCUCUUCUUUUGAGCCCUCCACCCCUUGCACAUUCAUCCAGCCCUCCAGCCACCCACUGCUUUAUUCCCUGUCUCUCCUGCCCAGCCUCUACCUUGUGCUCCUGGUUGGAGCCUCCCCUAUUUAUAUCCUCAACCUCUGCCUCCCUUUCCUGUCUCUUUACCCACACACCAAUCCUGUUUGUGGCCUCCAUCACACAUUGCAUGGAGCUUCUGCUGCCUCUCCUCUCUGCCCUCUCUCCUGAGCCACCCUCAGCUCCAUCUCCCCCACACACCAAGGUGAGGUGGAGCUUUUGGCACAGAGCAUCGGGUGCAGGAGCUGUGGGUGCCUCCCCUCCCUGAUGCACUUCUGGCCUGAUUUUUGGGGUUAGGCUUUGCCCUGUGCAUAGCUACCAAGAAACCUGCAGCUGACAAAUCCCAGCUCCUGCAUCCUUUCCCUUGGGGAUGCUCCGCCCUGCAGAGGACAGUGGGUUGGGGACAAAGCUCACAUUUCAGAGAUGUCCUGAGGCUGGCAGCUAGGGCAGCUUUCCCAAGCUUCCAGGCAGCUGCAAUUCCAGCCUGUUGGACCAUCCCCACUGUCCCACUGCCUUGGCACCACAGCUCCCUGCCUUUCCUUGCCCUCCCUGUUCCCACUGCCCCAGGCAUCCCACAAAGCUGCCUCACAGAGUCCAGCCUGUGAUUUUUGUGCCUCCUCUCCUUCCCAAACGUGGGAAUUUUCCUCUUGCUGAUUCACGCCUCUGUCACGUCACAUUUAUUUUUUUUUUAGCGCUGACGCUGGCUGUGCUCACCCCAGGGAAAGGCUAAAACCCCAAGCUGCUGCUCUGGGGACUGGCCCUCUGCCAGCCACGUGCUGCCAACUCAGCCAAAAACCCUGCAUCUGUGCUGAGCCAACCCAAAGCUCUCCCACUGCUGGGGUCAAAUAAGGGAAAUUUCAGGGGUUCAUUUUCCCCCUGCCUCCCUGAUCCCAACCCUGCGCUCCCAACUGAGUGCUCAGGCUGGCUACAGCACACCUCCAGCCUCAAAAACCAGUUUUGUAGUAUAAAAAUGCUCUGGACCAGCAGAGUGGCAUACAAGGUGGAGGGCCCCAGGGACAUCACCUGCAUCCCUGGGGGGAUGGAGCCCUUUGCAGCCCUGGAAGGGGUGUGGGAA